Molecule: ribosomal RNA, 254 nt
Filed under: uncultured bacterium
Lineage: Bacteria
Description: partial 16S ribosomal RNA
Rfam family: Bacterial small subunit ribosomal RNA
Source: RNAcentral
GACGUAGGGUCCAAGCGUUGUCCGGAUUUACUGGGCGUAAAGGGCGCGUAGGCGGCCACCGCAAGUCGACUGUGAAAUCUCCGGGCUUAACCCGGAAAGGUCAGCCGAUACUGCGGGGCUAGAGUGCAGAAGGGGCAACUGGAAUUCUCGGUGUAGCGGUGAAAUGCGUAGAUAUCGAGAGGAACACCUGCGGCGAAGGCGGGUUGCUGGGCUGACACUGACGCUGAUGUGCGAAAGCUAGGGGAGCGAACGGG